UACAAGGGCUGUGCCAUUCAAAGAACACGCCUGAGCCUCUGGCUUCCUCCAAAUAAUGAGGCCGUUGUUACGCAAGGGCCUGGGUUAAAUUGCCCCCAAACGGGGACUGGGAUGCGCUUACUGCUGCGCUGCCGCUUGGUCAGCCGGCGUCCGGGAUGGGAGCGCUCCUGCAUUUUCCAUGACUGCGGGGCCUGUUCCUUGCGCCUGUCUGGUCGCGUCACAUCAUGGAGGGUUUCUCGGGGCGGCCGGCCGACUCUGAGCACAGCCGGGGUGGUGUUUGCAGCACAGCUGCUGCCUAGGCCUUGCUGCGGAGGAUCUUGAAAAUGUGAGUUGGACUGCGUCAUCCCCGCCCCUGCCUCAAAGCCCCUCCGUGGUUGCCUACAGCACAGCUUCAAGCUCCUUGGUUCUGCUUCCCGGACCUGCAGCGCUGGCCCCAGCCUGGCCGAGAGAGCGUUUGUUCACCCAAGACCUUUCUCCUCCUGCCCUCGUGGAGCCUCCACACGGAGUAAACAACGACUUCUCUGAGCCUUGAUCGCUCUGUUUGUAACAUGCAGAGAAAACGCCUUCCUAGCUGAGCAGUAGGAUUGGGGGCCGCCGCCUGCUCAGCCCGGGCCUGGGUGCAGGCACAGGAAGUGUCUUUCUUCUGCUCUGUGAGCCCAUCUUCUCAAGGGUGGGUCCAUGCUUUCUCCAUUUCAGCGUCCCUCACAGCAUCAACUCUAUGCCUUGCAGACAGCGGACACGUAAUACAGCCAUGCAGCGUGAACCUGA
Molecule: long non-coding RNA, 768 nt
Filed under: Papio anubis (olive baboon)
Lineage: Eukaryota; Metazoa; Chordata; Mammalia; Primates; Cercopithecidae
Description: lncRNA (ENSPANG00000048616.1)
Source: RNAcentral